This 253-nucleotide ribosomal RNA is filed under the name uncultured bacterium. RNAcentral describes it as "partial 16S ribosomal RNA". It matches the Rfam family "Bacterial small subunit ribosomal RNA", at positions 524 to 776 of the family's 1533-position model. The record is from RNAcentral.
AACGUAGGUACCGAGCGUUAUCCGGAUUUACUGGGCGUAAAGCGCGUUCAGGCGGUUUGGCAAGUCGGGCAUGGAAUCUCUCGGCUCAACCGGGAGAGGUUGUCCGAUACUUCCAGACUUGAGGGCAGUAGAGGGUGGUGGAAUUCCGGGUGUAGUGGUGAAAUGCGUAGAUAUCCGGAGGAACACCAGUGGCGAAAGCGGCCACCUGGACUGCACCUGACGCUGACACGCGAAAGCUAGGGGAGCGAACGGG